UACGGAGGGUGCAAGCGUUAUCCGGAUUCACUGGGUUUAAAGGGUGCGUAGGUGGAUUGGUAAGUCAGUGGUGAAAUCUCCGGGCUUAACCCGGAAACUGCCAUUGAUACUAUCAGUCUUGAAUACCGUGGAGGUCAGUAGAAUAUGUCAUGUAGCGGUGAAAUGCUUAGAUAUGACAUAGAAGACCAAUUGCGAAGGCAGCUGGCUACACGAAUAUUGACACUCAGGCACGAAAGCGUGGGGAUCAAACAGG
This 253-nucleotide ribosomal RNA is filed under the name uncultured bacterium. RNAcentral's name for it is "partial 16S ribosomal RNA". It matches the Rfam family "Bacterial small subunit ribosomal RNA", at positions 524 to 776 of the family's 1533-position model. The record is from RNAcentral.